This is a long non-coding RNA of Eucalyptus grandis, 300 nucleotides long. RefSeq lists it as uncharacterized. NCBI's taxonomy places the organism in Eukaryota, Viridiplantae, Streptophyta, Magnoliopsida, Myrtales, Myrtaceae. The transcript is spliced from 2 exons. The record is from RefSeq and is a predicted model, not a curated record.
UCGUUGAUUGUACCUAGGUUUUUUCACACAAGUUCUCUCAGUUUUGCUCAAGGUGGAAGCUAUGGAACAUAAGAAGGUUGUGAUCGCUCCUGAGAAGUUUUGCAAUGAUCCAAGGGUCUUGUGCCAAACUUGUUCUUGCACAUACAAAGUGGGUAUUGAGUAGGCAAUCUUCCACCUUGAUUUGUGUGUGAAUAGAUAUUCCUGAUAUAUUGAUUUUAAAUCGUUGUUUUUGUUGGACUUUAUUAUAUCAUAUUUCCGUCUAAAUUUGUUAUGUGAAUCAAUAUGCAAAAUUUCAUUUUA